GGGUUGUGAGGUUAAGCGACUAAGCGUACACGGUGGAUGCCCUGGCAGUCAGAGGCGAUGAAGGACGUGCUAAUCUGCGAAAAGCGUCGGUAAGGUGAUAUGAACCGUUAUAACCGGCGAUGUCCGAAUGGGGAAACCCAGUGCAAUUCGUUGCACUAUCGUUAACUGAAUACAUAGGUUAACGAGGCGAACCGGGGGAACUGAAACAU
This 209-nucleotide ribosomal RNA is filed under the name Klebsiella pneumoniae. RNAcentral's name for it is "partial 23S ribosomal RNA". It matches the Rfam family "Bacterial large subunit ribosomal RNA", at positions 1 to 201 of the family's 2925-position model. RNAcentral also lists the same sequence under 1 other name. Lineage: Bacteria; Pseudomonadati; Pseudomonadota; Gammaproteobacteria; Enterobacterales; Enterobacteriaceae. The record is from RNAcentral.